This 558-nucleotide ribosomal RNA is filed under the name Phascolosoma esculenta. RNAcentral's name for it is "partial 16S ribosomal RNA". It matches the Rfam family "Bacterial large subunit ribosomal RNA", at positions 1838 to 2620 of the family's 2925-position model. The record is from RNAcentral. Lineage: Eukaryota; Metazoa; Annelida; Sipuncula; Phascolosomatiformes; Phascolosomatidae.
UGUUAUUGGGGGAGGCAUUGCCUGCCCAGUGACAACUGUUUAACGGCCGCGGUAUCCUGACCGUGCAAAGGUAGCAUAAUCAUUUGUUCUCUAAAUAAGGACUUGUAUGAAUGGCCGCACGAGGGUUUUACUGUCUCUUACUUCCAAUCAGUGAAAUUGACCUUCCCGUGAAGAGGCGGGAAUGCACAAAUAAGACGAGAAGACCCUAUGGAGCUUUAACUAACCAACCCAAAGAGAAUAGAUUUAACCAUUAAGGAAUAACAACAAUCUCCAUGAGUUGGUAGUUUCGGUUGGGGUGACCUCGGAGAAUAAAAAAUCCUCCGAGCGAUUUUAAAGACUAGACCCACAAGUCAAAUCACUCUAUCGCUCAUUGAUCCAAAAACUUGAUCAACGGAACAAGUUACCCUAGGGAUAACAGCGCAAUCCUAUUCAAGAGUCCAUAUCGACAAUAGGGUUUACGACCUCGAUGUUGGAUCAGGACAUCCUGAUGGUGCAACCGCUAUCAAAGGUUCGUUUGUUCAACGAUUAAAGUCCUACGUGAUCUGAGUUCAGACCGGA